AUUGAACGCUGGCGGCAUGCCUUACACAUGCAAGUCGAACGGCAGCACGGGGGCAACCCUGGUGGCGAGUGGCGAACGGGUGAGUAAUACAUCGGAACGUGUCCUGUAGUGGGGGAUAGCCCGGCGAAAGCCGGAUUAAUACCGCAUACGCUCUACGGAGGAAAGGGGGGGAUCUUAGGACCUCCCGCUACAGGGGCGGCCGAUGGCAGAUUAGCUAGUUGGUGGGGUAAAGGCCUACCAAGGCGACGAUCUGUAGCUGGUCUGAGAGGACGACCAGCCACACUGGGACUGAGACACGGCCCAGACUCCUACGGGAGGCAGCAGUGGGGAAUUUUGGACAAUGGGCGAAAGCCCUGAUCCCAGCAAAUGCCGCGUGUGUGAAGAAAGGGCCCUUUCGGGUUGUAAAAGCCACUUUUGUCCGGAAAGGAAAACC
Molecule: ribosomal RNA, 433 nt
Filed under: Burkholderia sp. oral taxon C87
Lineage: Bacteria; Pseudomonadati; Pseudomonadota; Betaproteobacteria; Burkholderiales; Burkholderiaceae
Description: bacterial SSU rRNA
Rfam family: Bacterial small subunit ribosomal RNA
Source: RNAcentral